GAAAUGCGAUACGUAAUGCGAAUUGCAGAAUUCAGUGAAUCAUCAAAUCUUUGAACGCAAAUUGCGCUUUCUGGAUAGGCCAGGGAGCAUGCCUCUUUGAGUAUCGUUUCUACCUCACCUCGGCAGCUUUGCUGCUGGAUAUUGAGAGUCUCAUUCGAAAGUCUGAGUCUCUUUAAGUACAGUGAGUUCAAACUCCUAGUAUUAAAAGUCAAUUUUAUUAUUGGCUUUGCCUGUUAUCAGGUUAUUUGAUUACUAGUGACAUGGAUAAUUCAUUAUUUUAUGUUACUGGAAGUUGAUAAACUUGAUGAUAUGGUUAAGAUAUCUUGGUAAUUGAACUUGUAGAAAAUUAAAAACUAAUUUUGAAUUAGAUCUCAAAUGAAGCAAGAUUACCCGCUGAACU
RNAcentral lists this unclassified non-coding RNA (400 nucleotides) under uncultured fungus. RNAcentral describes it as "sequence contains ITS1". The stretch from base 1 to 106 matches the Rfam family "5.8S ribosomal RNA", at positions 50 to 154 of the family's 154-position model. The record is from RNAcentral. Lineage: Eukaryota; Fungi.